Molecule: long non-coding RNA, 2247 nt
Filed under: Vitis vinifera (wine grape)
Lineage: Eukaryota; Viridiplantae; Streptophyta; Magnoliopsida; Vitales; Vitaceae
Description: long non-coding RNA (VVIN_LNC004118)
Source: RNAcentral
GCAUUUUGUAGGCAAGGAACAAAAUCUUGAUAGUGAUGGCCAUCUGAGAAAGAUAUCAACAAUUCUUUAAUACUGGUUUCAUCUUGGAAUAAAUGACAGAAAUUAAUACCAAAAAAUGAAAUUAAAAAUAAAAUCUUCAGGAAUUGCUGAUAGAUAUGAUAAAAACAUAACACACACACAAACACAAGAUGUUUUGGUUCAGGAGAUACAAGCAUGGUAUACGAUAUGGAAAUCUUAUUUUGAUCCACUAUUAUCUUGGAUAAGAGAACAAGAUAAAUUAUCAUUGCCACAUCUAUAUCCCUUGGUUGUGGGAUAUGAAAAACAUAUUAUAUAAGGAAGAUGGGAUUUUCAUAUCCCACAAACGAAAACAUAGAGAUUUGUGACAGAACUUUUUGAUGUACUUAAGGUCUUGUUUGGAAUCCUGAUAUCAAUAUAUUAGUUUUGCUUCCACAAGGAGUCCAUCUUUAUUGAAUCUUUUCAUUAUCUAAUUGCUUUACCUGCUUUACCAAAGUGUGAGGAGCCAAUUUUGUACACUUCAUUCUUGAAACUAUUCUGUCCUCUGAAAUAUGCAAGAAGCCCAUCUUGUUUAGUCAUCCGAUUCUUUAAGUUACACCACUCUCUCAAUUUGACAGUAAGGAGUUCAUCUCUUCUCUCUAAUUAACAUCACCACAGCUUCUUGAUAAAGACUUUGACUAGCUUCCUAAUCAAAAUCCACAUGGAUGAAUGUCUCCUUUCUCAUUGUCAUCAUAUUAUUUAGAUGUUUAGUUCAAGUGUAAUCAUCAAAUGCUGAGAUUUCACUCUCUUGACCACUGAAGGAAACUAUCAAAUUCAAACCUUACUCGAACCAUUAACCAGACACUAGAAUCAGCUAUUAAACUCUUUGCAUGUCCAGAUAUAUAUAUAUAUAUAUAUAUAUAUAUAUAUAUAUAUAUAUAUAUAUAUAAUAUCCUGUAAAUAUGUAUAUCUAUCAGACUGAAUAAUCUAUAAACCAAACUUGGCCAUUGAAGUUUGUAUCAUAAGGUUUACAAGUUCAUGGAUGAAAACCCAAAAUUGCAGAAAGAAAUAUUUACUUACAAGGAAACUAAAAGGGAUUUUGUAAAUAUGAAAAGAGUGUCAGACAACAAGACUGUAGAAAGUUGCAGAUAAAAAGGGCUGCCACAAGGUGCUAAAGAAGGCUGCAUUUGGAAGCCAACAAUGCUGUUGUACUGAGAUCUUUGAGUUCAUGGCAAUAUUUCUGAGACCAGCAAUGUCAGGGGAAAGAAAAAGGUGAUGAAAAGGAAUACCAAGAUCUUGGUAGUUCUCUAUUAGAAAAGGCAUGCUUGAGACUGAGUUUUCUUACCACUUACCAAGAUAUGAGAUCUCUCCAUUCCGAAUGAGAUUUUGGUCCAUGGUUAUAUGGUUGACAGUGUUUUGGGUUGCGACCUCUUUAAAGGAAAAAGUUUAGAAGCUGUUAGGUUUUUAUGGUACACUUCUUGGGUUUUACCCAGCAUGUACAUGAGUUUUGCGACUUCUUCCCUGAUUUCUUUGUACGCAUUCUUUUUUAUCCUAAAGAGAAAAAGGAAUGGUUUACUAUUUUGCUGCAUAUGUGAUAAGUUUGCUGAAAUAUUUGUCUUCAAUGCAGGCAAGCAAGCUAUUUGACACUGUAUUUAGAUAGUCUGAUGUUUUCUGUAACUAGGUAGGUCAGAAUUAGCCACUUUGUGAUGAUGUAGAUUGGUGCAUGGAGUUAGAAUUUCUUCUUAGUAAAGUUCUUGUCCUUCUCUGUUCAAAGUUUCAAGUCAUUCUGAUUCCUCUCUUUAGUCUUAUUCAUUACCACAAUUGGACCAUGAGGGGAGGAGAUGCAUGGAUAUACCUCAUCCAUGCAUAUAUUGCCUACAUUACCUCAAUAAUGUAGGACAAUCUUGAGGUGAUUACCUACAACCAAACAAAAUGGGAUAGGAUUUCGUUUAGAAUUCAAGGAGAGGAACCUUGAUUAAAGAUUGUGGCAGCAAGGAAAGAUAAAAUAAAAAGCAGAAAAAAGAAGAAAAUAAAUGGAGAAAAGAAAAAGGGAAAUCUUUGGUGGAAGGAAAAUGUAGGAACACCAAUUUGGAGCUUUUAGAAUUUUCUGAAUAAAGUACAAAAGGUCUUCAGAAAGAGUUGAAAACACGAAGGUGAAUAGAUUACUUAACACAUUUCAUGGACCACAAUAUAAAAGAAAUAUGAAUAUUACAACUUUCUUUUUUUGUUUUUUGCAAACUGUGCUAGGUUUAC